UGCAGUCGAGGGGUAGAGGAAGCUUGCUUCCUUGAGACCGGCGCACGGGUGCGUAACGCGUAUACAAUCUACCUUUUACAGAGGGAUAGCCCAGAGAAAUUUGGAUUAAUACCUCAUAGUAUUUUCGGAUCGCAUGAUUUGAUUAUUAAAGUUCCAACGGUAAAAGAUGAGUAUGCGUCCCAUUAGCUAGAUGGUAAGGUAACGGCUUACCAUGGCGAUGAUGGGUAGGGGUCCUGAGAGGGAGAUCCCCCACACUGGUACUGAGACACGGACCAGACUCCUACGGGAGGCAGCAGUGAGGAAUAUUGGACAAUGGGCGCAAGCCUGAUCCAGCCAUGCCGCGUGCAGGAAGACGGUCCUAUGGAUUGUAAACUGCUUUUAUACAGGAAGAAACACUCGGACGUGUCCGAACUUGACGGUACUGUAUGAAUAAGCAUCGGCUAACUCCGUGCCAGCAGCCGCGGUAAUACGGAGGAUGCAAGCGUUAUCCGGAAUCAUUGGGUUUAAAGGGUCCGUAGGCGGUUUAAUAAGUCAGUGGUGAAAGCCCAUCGCUCAACGAUGGAACGGCCAUUGAUACUGUUAAACUUGAAUUAUUAGGAAGUAACUAGAAUAUGUAGUGUAGCGGUGAAAUGCUUAGAGAUUACAUGGAAUACCAAUUGCGAAGGCAGGUUACUACUAAUAUAUUGACGCUGAUGGACGAAAGCGUGGGGAGCGAACAGGAUUAGAUACC
This 730-nucleotide ribosomal RNA is filed under the name Flavobacterium sp. YIM108. RNAcentral's name for it is "bacterial SSU rRNA". It matches the Rfam family "Bacterial small subunit ribosomal RNA", at positions 56 to 786 of the family's 1533-position model. The record is from RNAcentral. RNAcentral also lists the same sequence under 1 other name. Lineage: Bacteria; Pseudomonadati; Bacteroidota; Flavobacteriia; Flavobacteriales; Flavobacteriaceae.